This is a long non-coding RNA of Symphalangus syndactylus (siamang), 1906 nucleotides long. RefSeq lists it as uncharacterized. The record is from RefSeq and is a predicted model, not a curated record. Lineage: Eukaryota; Metazoa; Chordata; Mammalia; Primates; Hylobatidae.
GACCACGGAAAGUGUCAGCGGGGCUGAGCCCAACCCGUUCCAGGAAUUAGAAUGCGUGUCCGACGCUUAUAAGUUUAUUCCAACCCGCGCGUCCCCGAGGGGCCAGUGCACUCUCCAGAGGUGGGCAAUUUGAGGCUGGGACUGGCGAUGAACGCCGCAGCCCCUUUGGAAACCAAAUUCGGAGCCAAGAAAGCCGCAGACCUGCCUGCAGGUCGCAGAGAAUUCUGGCCCUGCCAUGAGUGCUUUCCCCACCCGGGAGGAGUGGCAUCGGCGUUCAAGGCGGCUUUCACCUUAGCAACGCAGUGUACCUCGGCCCAGGGCCCUACCCUUGAGGAAACCGCACGUUCUGAAUUCUGCAUGGGCGAACGUUGGCCCAGAGAAGUCAGGGAAUUUGAGGCAACGUUCCCAGCCGACCUGCUGUCUCCCCAUGUUCUGUUCACUGCCUUGUUCACAGGAGUACCACAAAAGUGAUGCAGAAUUCUUGUCAGUGUAUCCUAUCAGGAGACUGUUCGUGUUCAUUAGUCCCAUUCUGGCUCUGUCAACUUCGACUGCUUAAUCAAGGUAUGGUGUAAGAGGAUGCAAAAUGAAAAUCCAAGACCUUCACCACUCUGAGAGGUAAUGAGGCCCUAUCCAACCUAACAAUAUCAGAGAAGACAGCAUGAAGAGCAGAAACAAGGCCCUUCAAGUUAUCAUCAACUGUGGUAUCUGACUCCUCACUACCACUCUUCAAUCUGCUGUAAGUGUCAACUGGUGCCCAGAGACUCUACUCCCAGAAGCCAUUACUGAAACCUCAGAUUCACUGAUUUCCAUGCCUUGCUGCCCAUGAGCCCUGCAUCCCUCAUCCUACAAUACGUGAUCACAGAGUCUUCAAUUCCUCUACCCUAAUGGUCCUCGCUCUUUACCAAUCAAUCCCACGUCCCCAUGACUGGCCUCUAUGCCUGUAUGACUACCCAUCAUGCAUCUCCAUCAGCCAUCCCAAGAGUCCCAAUCCUAGGCACACCUGUACCUGCAUUGGGGCCUUAUCACACAAACACAUCUCCCACCACUGACACAACUAGGCUAUAAACUCCUCCACAUACACAAACAGGAACUCAAUCAAUGAACAAAUCAGGGGAAAUUCUUGAAUGUAUAGAAUAAAUUUAUAAAUAGAAAACACUUCUAAAUCUAAUUGUGAAGAACCAGACUAUUUACAGAGGAAGAAUGAAGGAAAUAAGAAAACUCUUCAUCUGCAGUACUGAAAGCUAAAUGAUGUUGGAAAUAGCAUCUAAAAGACCACUCCUCUGUCAGGGCCAGAGAGACAUUUUCAGAAAUAAAAACACUUGCAGAGUAUCUCUGUCUUUGAGAGAAAUACUGAAAGAAGUAGUCCAAAUAAAUGUAAAAUGAAUCACACAAUAAAUCUUGAAUAGGAAAAUAUUGUUUAGCAAUAAUUCUUGCAAAAGAUAUAUAAUUAUAAAAAAGGACAAUGUGACAAUGUGAUAAAGAGGCCACUAAAGAGAAAAUAAUACCCUACGAUAAUACAUUCCUAAUAAUCUCAGGAAAAAAACGGAAAAAAUGGGAUGCAGAAUGGAAACAAUGAGCAGAAAUUUCAUCAAUCCAAUGAAAAUAUUAUGUAAAGAAAAAGCAGAAAAUAAAAAGAGCUAAAUAGUAAACAUCAAAUGGAAGGCAUAAAAUCAGAUAAAUCAUUAUUACAUUAAACUGAGAUGUAAAAUUCUAUCAAUAGAGACUGUAAAUUGGAUUUGAAAAAAAUAAAAGUAUCUAUUGUAAACAAAUAGGUAAUCUGACGCAGAGACAAAUAUGGAUAUAAAAUAAAGCUCUGGGCAAAGACACAUCAUCCAAAUGCAAUAAAAGUAAAAACAAGGGUGGCAAUGUGAGUAUCAAAGUGGAAUUCGAUGUUAAAAAGUGUUUU